UUACUUUAUCUGCUUAUGGCAGAAUGGCAGAUAUCAUAGCGCAUGCGCUAUGGUUUCUGUAUUCUGCCCAUGGCUCCUGGAUUUUCAAUCUACAUAAAAAUACAUAAUGCAUAGCCACGGGCAUAGGCACAUACAUUCCGAUUGUAGCCGGUCCUAAAGAAAAGUGAUUAAGAACAAAGAACGGAUUUAUAUUGAUUAACACCAGCAGCAACGCGCGGCUCAGGACAGUUUAAAAAACAUAGACAACGAGUCCGAUGCACCUAAAAUACCGAUCAGAUUAUCAAAGAUUGGUAUUUGGAUGACGAGGACGAUGAUGAUGAUGACGAGGGAGGUAAUCUUACUAUAGUGGAUAGUUCGAAAGACGAAAUCGAGCCUAUCGAGAAGACGCAAGACCUCGUUAUCAAGGAGGAGUUCCAGCCUGCGACAUCCGUGUCCAACGUACCCCAGCCGGCCGCUAUUUUGGACAAAUUAGGUGACCUGAGCAAAAUUGAUAUCAAUGCCGAAGUAUCCAAAUUGCUUUCUACUCCGAAGGCUCAGAGCUCCGCAACCAACAAGACGCAAGCAAACUCGAAUCAAGACGCGUCGAAAACUAAAUCGGCGCAAGAUUCGAAGACGGAUAGCGAGACGUCGUCAAGUCCGAGGCGAUCACCAGAAAUUGUAAUUUAUUGCAAAAUAAACGCAUCUUCUCAUAAUUUUCGGAGGAGUUCCAGCCUGCGAUAUCCGUGUCCAACGUACCCCAGCCGGCCGCUAUUGUGAACAAAUUAGGUGAACUGAGCAAAAUUGAUAUCAGUGCCGAAGUAUCCGAAGACAGUGCAUCUGUCGAACUUCGUUAUCUGUCCAGUUUUUAAUUUUUAUCGACAAUAAUAAGUUUUGAUAAUAUGUUUUAUUAUUAAUUAAUAUAAAUAAACAUUGUUAUUGUCAGUCGAAUUACUCUUUCACCUGUCAGUUACUUUGUAUAUGCAUAUUCGUGAUUUUUACUAGUAAUAAUUUCCACGAAUUUAAAUUCUUAGGUAUCAGCGCAACCGUCAAAUUACAUAAUUAAGUUUUAAUCUAUCAAUUAAUGACAAUCAA
Molecule: long non-coding RNA, 1071 nt
Organism: Temnothorax curvispinosus
Lineage: Eukaryota; Metazoa; Arthropoda; Insecta; Hymenoptera; Formicidae
Exons: 3
Source: RefSeq, a predicted model, not a curated record